This 425-nucleotide ribosomal RNA is filed under the name uncultured bacterium. RNAcentral describes it as "partial 16S ribosomal RNA". It matches the Rfam family "Bacterial small subunit ribosomal RNA", at positions 354 to 796 of the family's 1533-position model. The record is from RNAcentral.
GUGAGGAAUAUUGGACAAUGGAGGAAACUCUGAUCCAGCCAUGCCGCGUGAGUGAUGAAGGCCUUCGGGUUGUAAAGCUCUUUCGGGUGUGAAAAUGAUGAUGGUAACACCAGAAGAAGCCCCGGCUAACUCCGUGCCAGCAGCCGCGGUAAUACGGAGGGGGCGAGCGUUGUUCGGAAUCACUGGGCGUAAAGCGUGCGUAGGCGGUUAUACAAGUCAGGAGUGAAAUCCCAGGGCUCAACCUUGGAAUUGCUUUUGAGACUGUAUGACUAGAGAUCUAGAGAGGUUGGGGGAAUUCCGAGUGUAGAGGUGAAAUUCGCAGAUAUUCGGAGGAACACCAGUGGCGUAGGCGCCCAACUGGCUAGAUACUGACGCUGAGGCACGAAAGCGUGGGGAGCAAACAGGAUUAGAAACCCUUGUAGUCC